This 1842-nucleotide long non-coding RNA is filed under the name Catharus ustulatus (Swainson's thrush). Its description in RNAcentral is "lncRNA (ENSCUSG00005006351.1)". The record is from RNAcentral. Lineage: Eukaryota; Metazoa; Chordata; Aves; Passeriformes; Turdidae.
CCCCCGCACGCGGCCGCAGGUGCUGCCGCGAUGUCCCCGGCGCGCCCAAGGCGCUGCACCUGCCCCGGCAGUGGUGGCAGUGUUCGCUGGUGCCUCCCCUCCCUGCGCCCGGGAACAAGGAAGCAACUCCAGCUACCUUCGGCCAUCACUCGGCAGCUUAGCUUCCUGCUGGCACCUUCCCCACGCCCUGAGUCCUCAGGUCCCCCACCUUGCAAGGCGUUGGGAUGCUGGCUUUGGACAUGACUCGGGGCACGGGAGGGCUGCCCCUGCUGCUGCUGAGCCUUGCUGUGCUGCAUCUCCCACUGGAGACCACUGUCAUGGGUGUGACAGCAACUGUGUCUCCACCUCUCCCUACUUCCUCAACACCUAUGGAGAGCUCAACACUGCUGCCUACCACUGACUCCAAGACCACAGCCACCCUCCUUUCCUCCAGCCCUGAAACAGAAUCCUCCACCCUAGAGGAGUCCAGCACAUCCGAAGAGACUGGCAACACCUCACCUCCCAGUGUGCCUCCUCCCUCCUCUUCAGCUGAGUCCAUGACAAGCCUGGCAGCCACAGACAGCUCUGUUAUCAACACAUCAGACCCCAUGAGCACUUCUUCAACCGACCCAGAUGGGACCACCCCUGACAUAUUCCCCUCAACUGUGGAGUCAACUCCAGACACUGAGCCCUCUUCCCCUGCCACCAGCUCAGCCCAGACCUCAGAGGCUACUACCCUCAGCACGUCUACAGAGCUGCCGACAACCUGCCCCUCUGGCUCGUCCAACACCAGUUCAUCUCACCUCUUUCUGUCACUGCGGCUAAGCACCCCUCUGGACCUGGGGAACACCACGGUGCAGGAGCUGGUGUUGUCCAAGCUCCGUGAGAACCUGCAAACAGCAUUCCCGUGUGCUGGCCUGUCACUGGCGUGGCGAGGGAAGAGGAGAACUUGACCACUGCCCCUCGCCUGGACUGCCAAGCCACCUGCUCCCAGCUCCUCACUCCGUGGUGGUGCAGGCCCCUGGGGAAUCCCACACAGCUCCUCUUGAACCUGGGGCUUCCUGUCUUUCACUCUGUACCCCCAGUCCCCUCCUGCCCCUUCCCACAGCCUGUCUGAAGAGCCUGAGCCCUCCCACCACCCUGCUCCAGACCUGGUUCCUGUGGUGGGAACCCCUCCAGCUCUGCUGGGGGGCUGGGAGAAGGGAACCCCACGGGACUGGGAUUUUACACCUGGGACUGAGCUGGCUCAGCCAUCAAAGCCACUCUGGGGACAGAGGAAUGAGGGGAAGGAGACCUGAAGCCCCCAGUACUGCUGUGCCCAAGGCUCACCUGUGAUAUUGCUGACAGAGAAGAACACCCAUGCUGGGCAGUAAAUAGAAAUUCCAUGUUUUCUGUGUUGAAGUGAUGACUUCUUUAUUUUCCAAGUUGUCUUUCCCAGUUUUCAGCUUUGCCAUCUAUUGGAGGUAGCGGUGAGGAAAACUGAGUCCCAAAAGCUUUGUGUGGAGAGACGGGCUCAGGGCUGUCCCCUCCCACCAGGGGCUGCUGCAGACAUUCCCAAGGAUGGCUCAACAGCCUGGUGGUCUCUGCUUUGGAGCUCUCUGCCCCAUGACACCCCACAGCUGCAGGGGCAGCACUGUGCACUGUGGGGCUGUGGAAAUCCCACGGGCUACUCUCCUUUCCUAUUUUUUCCAGUCCCCAACUAAGGAGAAGGCUGUAAUGUCUGUCCCCCUGCAGCAAAGUCAUUUAUUAACUGAUUAAUUAACCAGAUAAAAUCCAACUGAAGCAAUUAUUAGCCUAAGUAAGCCACCUCACCUGGAGAUUGAAAACUGAAAUAAUUAGCAAAAUAGCCUUGUUGCGUGUCAG